CGGGCCGGACAGGCGGUCGCCGCUCUCGACGCUUCGGCUGAAGGAGGGGAGGAAAGUCCGGACUCCCGCGGGCAGCGUGCCGGAGAAAUUCCGGUCGGGGUAACCCGAAGGAAAGUGGCACAGAAAACAUACCGCCGACGCGCCGCAAGGCGCAGGUAAGGGUGAAAAGGUGCGGUAAGAGCGCACCGCGGUUCCGGCAACGGAACUGGCAGGCGAAACCCCACGCGGAGCAAGGCCAAAUAGGGUGACGGAAGGGGCGCCCGCCCUCGCGGCUUCGGCCGACGUCACCGGGUAGGUCGCUCGAGCCCGUCCGAAAGGCCGGGCCUGGAGGAAUGACCGCCGGCCGGAAGGCGCGAGCCGACCGGUUACAGAAUCCGGCUUAUCGUCCGGCCCGAGUC
This 398-nucleotide RNase P RNA is filed under the name Acidobacteriota bacterium. RNAcentral's name for it is "RNase P RNA component class A". It matches the Rfam family "Bacterial RNase P class A". From Rfam's summary of the family: Ribonuclease P (RNase P) is a ubiquitous endoribonuclease, found in archaea, bacteria and eukarya as well as chloroplasts and mitochondria. The record is from RNAcentral. Lineage: Bacteria; Pseudomonadati; Acidobacteriota.